Molecule: ribosomal RNA, 300 nt
Filed under: uncultured bacterium
Lineage: Bacteria
Description: bacterial SSU rRNA
Rfam family: Bacterial small subunit ribosomal RNA
Source: RNAcentral
GCGCGAGAGGAGCGGCCGAUGGCGGAUUAGCUAGUUGGUGGGGUAAAGGCCCACCAAGGCGACGAUCCGUAGCGGGUCUGAGAGGACGGCCCGCCACACUGGGACUGAGACACGGCCCAGACUCCUACGGGAGGCAGCAGUGGGGAAUUUUGGACAAUGGGGGCAACCCUGAUCCAGCCAUUCCGCGUGAGUGAAGAAGGCCUUCGGGUUGUAAAGCUCUUUCGGCAGGAACGAAACGGCGGGCUCUAACAUAGCCUGUCAAUGACGGUACCUGAAGAAGAAGCACCGGCUAACUACGUG